GGGCGGUUAGCUCAGCCGGUUAGAGCGCACGCCUGAUAAGCGUGAGGUCGGUGGUUCAAGUCCACUACCGCCCACCA
This 77-nucleotide transfer RNA is filed under the name Meiothermus sp. QL-1. RNAcentral describes it as "tRNA-Ile". It matches the Rfam family "tRNA". From Rfam's summary of the family: Transfer RNA (tRNA) molecules are approximately 80 nucleotides in length. Lineage: Bacteria; Thermotogati; Deinococcota; Deinococci; Thermales; Thermaceae. The record is from RNAcentral.